This 31-nucleotide non-coding RNA is filed under the name Homo sapiens (human). Lineage: Eukaryota; Metazoa; Chordata; Mammalia; Primates; Hominidae. The record is from RNAcentral.
UCCAGGCCCAGAAUGUCCUUAACUCAGCAUC